This 422-nucleotide ribosomal RNA is filed under the name uncultured bacterium. Its description in RNAcentral is "bacterial SSU rRNA". It matches the Rfam family "Bacterial small subunit ribosomal RNA", at positions 355 to 774 of the family's 1533-position model. The record is from RNAcentral.
UGAGGAAUAUUGGUCAAUGGGUGCAAGCCUGAACCAGCCAUCCCGCGUGAAGGACGACUGCCCUAUGGGUUGUAAACUUCUUUUGUAUAGGGAUAAACCUACCCUCGUGAGGGUAGCUGAAGGUACUAUACGAAUAAGCACCGGCUAACUCCGUGCCAGCAGCCGCGGUAAUACGGAGGGUGCAAGCGUUAUCCGGAUUUAUUGGGUUUAAAGGGUCCGUAGGCGGCGAUAUAAGUCAGUGGUGAAAUAUUUCGGCUUAACCGAGAGACUGCCAUUGAUACUGUGUUGCUAGAAUAUGGUUGCUGUGAGUGGAAUGUGUGGUGUAGCGGUGAAAUGCUUAGAUAUCACACAGAAUAUCGAUUGCGAAGGCAGCUCACAAAGCCAUUAUUGACGCUGAGGCACGAAAGUGUGGGGAUCAAACA